GCUUACAGGAAUGGAUAUUUGCAAAUGUUUCUUGUACCUUCACCCCACACUUCCGGAUGCUCCACUUAAGUCAAAGAUUGGUAUAUUUGCAUUAAAUAACUAUGAAUGGAGUAUAGUUUUCUGCUAUUUCUACUAUAUCUUUAUCCUAUUUCUAUUUCAGAACAUUGCGAACACAUGGUGAGACACCUGUUCAAGAAGAGAACUUAGAAAAGGAAGAACAGAAGAAAUGAAGAACUGGAAAAUGAAGAACAGAACAGCCCUCUACGCAUGAAUCGUUCAAAAUUAGCUGCCUGGAUGCAGUCACUGAUGUCUGCUUGAAUCUUCUCCAUGCUCACAUCAAUGAGGGUCUGCUGCAUCCGUGAUCACAGGAUUGAUGUGCUCCAAGCAAACUGCAGGCAGAAUUGAACUUGACUGGAUUGAAAUGAUCAUGCAUGCACACGCAGCACGGUUCUGAGAAACGGUAUUCCGUCCUGCGGCUGUUUUAUGACGACUAUCAGUGAGGAACUGAUACAGAUAGGUAAGUCUUACAUUUACAAUUUAUUUUGGCGUAGUCUGUAGGCCUAUACAAGUCUUUCAAGCAGUAAGUUUUAAGCCAAGCUGUCUAGAAGACUCGCGCCGCAUAAAAUCUAUCUGUCAAUCCACUGUCAAAUAUCAGUC
Molecule: long non-coding RNA, 657 nt
Organism: Patiria miniata (bat star)
Lineage: Eukaryota; Metazoa; Echinodermata; Asteroidea; Valvatida; Asterinidae
Exons: 3
Source: RefSeq, a predicted model, not a curated record